Molecule: long non-coding RNA, 533 nt
Filed under: Pan troglodytes (chimpanzee)
Lineage: Eukaryota; Metazoa; Chordata; Mammalia; Primates; Hominidae
Description: long non-coding RNA NONPTRT016998
Source: RNAcentral
AACAACCCCACCCCCUGCGGCGCCACCCAGCUGGGAGCGGAGAGAGACUGACAGCGGAGGCGGGGGUCAGGGCGGGGACCCGGACCCCAGCCCCAUCGGGGACAGAGUCCAAAAAUAGCUCGCGUCCUUGGUGUUCGCCUUGUCGCAGGAGCCUCGCCAUCGCGCAAUCUGCACUCGCCCCUCUGCAGAUCUAAGGCCAGACCUGGGCCACCCUAACUUCUCGGUAUCUCCUAUUUCUACAAACCGGCCGGGUAGAGGAUGCAGCCGGGCGUGGUGGCUACAAGAAAGUGCCCUGGUGUUAAGAACUCAGCCUCUGAAACCUGCCGCCCAGCUUCGAGUCAGCGACGUACUUUUGUUGUCCCGGCCUUAGUAUCCCCGCUGCAAUAAGAGUGUAAGCUCCUAAAGGCAGAAAUCAAGCUGACCUAAGCAAAGACCUGAAGGGGCUAUGAGGACAUCUGGCAGAAGAGGUAAUGCUACGGGUAAGGAAUUGUACAAACACAUGAGAAAUAUCCACAGAAAGCACAGCACCUGGG